Molecule: small nuclear RNA, 199 nt
Organism: Nycticebus coucang (slow loris)
Lineage: Eukaryota; Metazoa; Chordata; Mammalia; Primates; Lorisidae
Product: U2 spliceosomal RNA
Exons: 1
Source: RefSeq, a predicted model, not a curated record
AUCGCUUCUCGGCCUUUUGGCUAAGAUCAAGUGUAAUAAUUGAAAUCUCAUCAUAUUGAGUAUUACCCUUAACAAAUAUGAAGUGACCAUUCUUAUCCUUCCUUACUUUUGUUGGUUUAAAGCCUAUUGUGUCUGCAAAUAGAAUUGCAACACCUGCUUUAUUCUGAUUACCAUUUGCCUGAAAUAUGGACGACCAUCC